UCUCUCACACGCUAUGCAGAGUUUUCAGUCCCUCUAGCGUAGCUGGAGCAAUGAUCAUUGUGAAAGAAAAUUAUGUGACUGAGUCUGAAUGGUGGAGAUAAAAAGAGUGGGGUAUUCCCAAAGAAAGUGCACGGCUCAGAGUUCUUUUGUACACUGAAACUUUUAACAAAAUGUAACUGUUUAUAAAAAAUUUAUAUAUGCAGAUUUAUGGAAGUAAAUGAAAAAACUGAUUAAUAAUAUCCAAUAUUUGUGCAUUUAUGAUUUACUAAGUUUAUUUUGGUUAUCUUUACGUAUACAUGAACCUGUAACUUUACGUACAAUGUGCCACAAAUCUUCAACAAUUACCGUUCAAUUAUUGACAGCCAACCCACAAAUAACCAGAAAUAUGCAUCUGAAAAACCCACAGAAGUUGAGGGGUGAUUGUCUUCUUCAAUCCGACAAUACUGAUCUCCUGGCUAUUCUUUGACAACACAUCUUUGAUCUCUCUAUUAUAGCAUUUUCUUUGGCUGUUCUUCAUGCUGAGAACACUCUCCCUUUUCUCUGUUCCUUGGUUUCCCUAGCUUCAAGUCCUAGGUAAAGAUAUCAUUUUGGGCAGGAAGCUUUUCCCAGCUCCUAUUAAUUGUAGUGCUUUUAUUCUUAAUUAAUUACUAUUUAUCCUAUACAUAAUUUGUUUGUACAUAAAUGUUUGCCUGUUACCUUUCCUAUUAGACUGUGUGUUCCUUGAGGGCAGAGAAUGUCUUGCCUCCUGGUGUGUCCCCAACACUUGGAAUAGUGCCUAAGCUAUAAUAGGCUCUUAAUAAACAUUUGUUGCUUUGUUCCCUUUGUUCCCCAAUGUACUUGCAAUCAUAAAUCAAGACCAAAAAAUGAAAAGUAUCAAACGAGCAAGAUGUUAUAAUAAUGUUCCCUAUUUUUAUAAAAUAUUUAAUAAAAAGAGCUCAGAGCAUUCUGAAAAUUAAUUUUUCUUGAUCUAUUUAAUCCUUCUAAUUUCCUUACGUAUGACAGAUGAUCAGAAAGUUUAUUGUCUUAUAUUUAGAGAAAUUAAACAUAAACAAGAAAGAUUUGUCCAAGAUCAAGUCAGAAGUCAAUAAUGAAAGUACCUUAAAGAGAAUUGAUAACAACAUAUUUGGAUAUAUAGGCAUUUCCAUAUGAUACCAAAUCAAAUUCAAACUUGAAACUCAUGAUAUGGGAGAGAAAAUGUGGUCCAGUGGUAUUUCAAGAGCAAAAUAAGCUUUCUAACUAAACCAUUAGAGACCAUUUAUCACUAUUUGGAAUAAUUGUUGGCAUCUACUGAACAUAUCAUCAUUUCUGAGCAUGCUUCAGGAGAGGGGCCCUGGAGAAUAAGCCCAUCAGCAACCAUGCCUUCCAGCUGUUUGUUUCAAUUUCUUGCCCACUGAGGUUCUUAAUCAUCAUUAUUCCAGAUAUAAUGUGUCAAUUUUUUAAGAGGGAAAGAAAACAAGAACUUCAGCAAAAAAUAAAACCCACUUCAGAUCCCUUGAGAGUUUUUCACUAGAAAAUGAAAAUUAUGAAAAAGAACAGCUCUGUCCCAUGGAAUUUAUCUAUGGAAAAACAAAAGGCCUACACUAUAAUAAUUGCCUUUUAAUUAAAUGAAGAUUAUCCUGACUUCCCUUUUUUUAGGUAAAGGUUCUGCAGAAAAGAAAAAAAUCCCAUUACAGCAUAACCUACAUGUAACUAAAAGACUGCCAACUCUUACCAGCAUUACCUAUUUCAAAGCAAUUUUUGAUGAAAAGAAAUUCCAGCUUGCUAAAGACACAAUUAAAAAAACUAAACCAUUUUGUAUAGAAAUUGUUCUCAAAUCAACCUAUCAAUUAAUAAGCAUUUAUUAAGUGCCAAGUCACUGUGUUAGGUACUGAGAAUACAAAUGCAGAGUGAAACCAUCCCUACUCAACAGGGAGUUUACAUUCUAAUGAGGAAAUAAAAUGUAUCAGAAAUUUUCUUGCUUUUGUAAGCAGGACAGGAACAUAAACUUUCCUUUCCUUCAUGAUUCAAGUUUAUCAUUCUUAAUGACAAUUAUUGCCAUCAGGUCUGUGGAAGUAAAAAGGCUGCUUCUUCGAGACAAAAAUUAAAUUCUUAUAUUUGGCCAUGUUGUGGCUGUCAGCUGAUUCUAACUAUGAAUGAGGAUGUGGAUAAGGCCCCCUUUUCUCUCUCUUUUUUUAUUUUAUUUUUAUUUUUUAAUUUUUUUAAUUUUUUUAAUUUUUAUUUUUAAAUUUAAAUUUUAUUUUAUUUAAUAAUAACUUUGUAUUGACAGAAUCCAUGCCAGGGUAAUUUUUUACAACAUUAUCCCUUGCACUCGCUUAUGUUUCGUUUUUUUCCCCUCCCUCCCUCCACCCCCCCCCCCCCAAGAUGGCAAGCAGUCCUAUAUAUGUUAAAUAUGUUGCAGUAUAUCCUAGAUACAAUACAUAUUUGCAGAACCGAACAGUUCUCCUGUUGCACAGGGAGAAUUGGAUUCAGAAGGUAAGAAUAACUCAGGAAGAAAAAUCAAAAAUGCAAAUAGUUCACAUUCGUUUCCCAGUGUUCCUUCUUUGGUGUAGCUGUUUCUGUCCAUCAUUUAUCCAUUGAAACUCAGUUAGGUCUCUUUGUCAUAGAAAACCACUUCCAUCAGAAUAUAUCCUCAUACAAUAUCGUUGUCAAAGUGUAUAAUGAUCUCCUGGUUCUGCUCAUCUCACUCGGCAUCAGUCCAUGUAGGUCUCUCCAAGCCUCUCUGUAUUCAUCCUGCUGGUCAUUUCUUACAGAACAAUAAUAUUCCAUAACAUUCAUAUACCACAAUUUACCCAGCCAUUCUCCAACUGAUGGGCAUCCAUUCAUUUUCCAGUUUCUAGACACUACAAACAGGACUGCUACAAACAUUUUGGCACAUACAGGUCCCUUUCCCUUUUUUAGUAUCUCUUUGGGAUAUAAGCCCAAUAGAAACACUGCUGGAUCAAAGGGUAUGCACAUUUUGAUAACUUUUUGGGCAUAAUUCCAGAUUGCUCUCCAGAAUGGUUGGAUUCAUUCACAACUCCACCAACAAUGCAUUAGUGUCCCCGUUUUCCCGCAUCCCCUCCAACAUUUAUCAUUAUUUUUUCCUGUCAUCUUAGCCAGUCUGACAGGUGUGUAGUGAUAUCUCAGAGUUGUCUUAAUUUGCAUUUCUCUGAUCAAUAGUGAUUUGGAACACUCUUUCAUGUGAGUAGUAAUAGUUUCAAUUUCAUCAUCUGAAAAUUGUCUGUUCAUAUCCUUUGACCAUUUAUCAAUUGGAGAAUGGCUUGAUUUUUUAUAAAUUUGAGUCAGUUCUCUAUAUAUUUUGGAAAUGAGGCCUUUAUCAGAACCUUUAAUUGUAAAGAUGUUUUCCCAGUUUGUUGCUUCCCUACUAAUCUUGUUUGCAUUCGUUCUGUUUGUACAAAGGCUUUUUAAUUUGAUAUAAUCAAAAUUUUCUAUUUUGUGAUCAGUAAUGGUCUCUAGUUCAUCUUUGGUCACAAAUUUCUUUCUCCUCCACAAGUCUGAGAGAUAAACUAUCCUAUGUUCCUCUAAUUUAUUUAUAAUCUCGUUCUUUAUGCCUAGGUCAUGGACCCAUUUUGAUCUUAUCUUGGUAUAUGGUGUUAAGUGUGGGUCCAAUCCCUAUUUUUUCAAAUAGUUUAUAUAGCAUUGCAGUUAAUUGUUCUUUAAAUGUUUGGUAGAAUUCACAUGUAAAUCCAUAUGGUCCUGGGGAUUUUUUCUUAGGGAGUUGGUUAAUAAAAACAGAAUAUUUUCACCUUUUUAUUAUUGUUUGCUUGAUUUUUUUCUCACAUAUUUUUUCACUUUUAAUCUGAUUUUUUUCUUGUGCAGCAUGACAAAAAUGGAAAUAUGUUUAGAAGAAUUAUACAUAUUUAACCUAUAUUGGAUUGCUUGCUCUCUUGGGGAUAGGAAAGAAGGAGGGGGAGAGAGAAAAAUCUGGAACACAAAGUUUUGCAAAGAUGAAUGUUGAAAAUGACCUUUGCAUAUAUUUAGAAAAAUAAAAUACUAUAAAAUAAGGGAAGCAAAUAGGAAAAUUUUAUAAUGAGUGUUUCUGAUAAAGGCUUCAUUUAUAAAAUUUGUAGAUAAUUAAAUCAAAUUCAUAAGAAUAUGAGUCAUUCUCCAACUUGAUAAAGGGUCAAAGGACACAAACAGACAAUUUUUAGAUAAAGAAAGUAAAGCUAUUUCUAGUCAUAGGAACAAAUGCUCUAAAUUACUAUUGAUUAGAGAAAUGCAAAUUAAAAUAACUCUUGGGUACUAUUUCAUACCUCUCAAAUUGGCUAAGAUGACAGGAAAAGUUAAUAACUAUUUGAGGGGAUUUGGGAAAAUUAGGAUACUAAUGUAUUCCUGCUGGUGUAGUUGUUAAAUGAUCCAACCAUUCUGGAGAAGAAUUUGGAAGUAUGCCAAAGGGCUAUCAAAGUAUGCAUAUCCUUUGGUCCAGCUAUGUCACUACCAGGUCUGUAUCCCAAAGAGGUCAUAAAAGAGAGUAAAAUGUUUAUAGUAGACCUUCUUGCAGUAGCAAGGAACUGGAAACUGAGUGGAUGCCCACCAGUUUGAGAAUGGCUAAAUAAGUUAUGGUAUAUGAAUGUAAUGGAAUAUUGUUUUUCUAUUAGAAGUGAUAAACAGGCUGAUUUCAGGAAAGACUUAUAUGAACUGAUGCUGAGUGAAGUGAUCAGAAUCAGAAGAACAUGUCCACAGUGAUAAGAAGAUUAUGUGAUGAUCAACUGUGAUGGACUUGGCUCUUAGCAAUAUAGUGAUUCAGGGCAAUUUCAAUAGACUUAAGAUGGAGAAUGCCAUUUGCAACCAGGGAGAGAGUUUGUUUUUUUUUUU
Molecule: long non-coding RNA, 4815 nt
Organism: Antechinus flavipes (yellow-footed antechinus)
Lineage: Eukaryota; Metazoa; Chordata; Mammalia; Dasyuromorphia; Dasyuridae
Exons: 2
Source: RefSeq, a predicted model, not a curated record